Molecule: ribosomal RNA, 951 nt
Filed under: Salmonella enterica subsp. enterica serovar Typhimurium
Lineage: Bacteria; Pseudomonadati; Pseudomonadota; Gammaproteobacteria; Enterobacterales; Enterobacteriaceae
Description: partial 23S ribosomal RNA
Rfam family: Bacterial large subunit ribosomal RNA
Source: RNAcentral
ACGAUUGUGUGAAUACAUAGCACAUUCGAGGUAGACGCAGAGAACUGAAACAUCUAAGUACCUGCAGGAAGAGAAAGAAAAUUCGAUUCCCUGAGUAGCGGCGAGCGAAACGGGAAAAGCCCAAACCAGCAAGCUUGCUUGUUGGGGUUGUAGGACUCCAAUAUGGUAGUUCUUUCAGAUAGUCGAAUGACUUGGAAAAGUCAGUCAAAGAGGGUAAAAACCCCGUAGACGAAAUGUGGAAGACACCUAGGAGGAUCCUGAGUACGGCGGAACACGAGAAAUUCCGUCGGAAUCCGGGAGGACCAUCUCCCAAGGCUAAAUACUCCCUAGUGACCGAUAGUGAACCAGUACCGUGAGGGAAAGGUGAAAAGCACCCCGGAAGGGGAGUGAAAUAGAACCUGAAACCGUGUGCCUACAACAAGUCAAAGCCCGUUAAUGGGUGAUGGCGUGCCUUUUGUAGAAUGAACCGGCGAGUUACGAUUGCAUGCGAGGUUAAGUUGAAGAGACGGAGCCGCAGCGAAAGCGAGUCUGAAUAGGGCGUUUGAGUAUGUAGUCGUAGACCCGAAACCAUGUGAUCUACCCAUGUCCAGGUUGAAGGUGCGGUAAAACGCACUGGAGGACCGAACCCACGUACGUUGAAAAGUGCGGGGAUGAGGUGUGGGUAGCGGAGAAAUUCCAAACGAACUUGGAGAUAGCUGGUUCUCUCCGAAAUAGCUUUAGGGCUAGCCUCGGAAUUGAGAAUGAUGGAGGUAGAGCACUGUUUGGACUAGGGGCCCAUCUCGGGUUACCGAAUUCAGAUAAACUCCGAAUGCCAUUCAUUCAUAUCCGGGAGUCAGACUGUGAGUGAUAAGAUCCAUAGUCGAAAGGGAAACAGCCCAGACCACCAGCUAAGGUCCCAAAAUAUAUGUUAAGUGGAAAAGGAUGUGGGGUUGCACAGACAACUAGGAUGUU